Molecule: ribosomal RNA, 364 nt
Filed under: Saprospiraceae bacterium
Lineage: Bacteria; Pseudomonadati; Bacteroidota; Saprospiria; Saprospirales; Saprospiraceae
Description: partial 23S ribosomal RNA
Rfam family: Bacterial large subunit ribosomal RNA
Source: RNAcentral
AGGACGUGAUACCCUGCGAUAAGCUCUGGGGAGCCGGGAAUAGGCUUUGAUCCAGAGAUCUCCGAAUGGGGCAACCCACCUGAUACUCAGUUAUUGUUACUCUUCGGGGUGAUCAAUAAUUGGGUAAACCAGGUAUCUUCAACCUGAACACAUAGGGUUAAAGAAGCAAACCCGGGGAACUGAAACAUCUAAGUACCCGGAGGAAAGGAAAUCAACAGAGACUCCGUUAGUAGUGGCGAGCGAACGCGGACCAGCCGAGCGAUGCGAGUGACAAGAAUGGUCUGGAAAGGCCAACCAUAGGGGGUGACAGUCCCGUAUUGGAAGCUCAACUCGACGUAUCAAGUAGGGCGGGACACGUGAAAUC